RNAcentral lists this ribosomal RNA (500 nucleotides) under uncultured bacterium. Its description in RNAcentral is "partial 16S ribosomal RNA". It matches the Rfam family "Bacterial small subunit ribosomal RNA", at positions 32 to 507 of the family's 1533-position model. The record is from RNAcentral.
AAUCAACGCUGGCGGCGUGCCUAACACAUGCAAGUCGAACGCGAAAGCCCCGCAAGGGGUCAGUAGAGUGGCCAACGGGUGAGUAACACGUGGGUGACCUGCCUUCGAGUGGGGGAUAACGUCCCGAAAGGGACGCUAAUACCGCAUGACAUCCUGCUUUUGAAAAAGCGGAGAUCAAAGCUGGGGAUCGCAAGACCUAGCGCUUGAAGAGGGGCCCGCGCCUGAUUAGCUAGUUGGUGAGGUAACGGCUCACCAAGGCGACGAUCAGUAUCCGGCCUGAGAGGGCGGACGGACACACUGGGACUGAGACACGGCCCAGACUCCUACGGGAGGCAGCAGUGGGGAAUUGUUCGCAAUGGGCGCAAGCCUGACGACGCAACGCCGCGUGGAGGACGAAGAUCUUCGGGUCGUAAACUCCUGUCGAGCGGGACGAACGCUUCGCGGAUGAAUAAUCCGCGGAAUUGACGGUACCGCUAAAGGAAGCCCCGGCUAACUCCGUG